GUUUGUGUGAAAUGAGUUCCGUAGCCUCACGAUAUAAACAUCCCAGUUCCUUUUACUCAUCCUCACUAACAGUAAAGAUUCUUUCUCUCUCUCACACACACACACACACACAUAGAAGUAAGUAAACAAACGUGAAUACAGUUAAGCACAUGAAGUCAGAGAUAUAUAAGUAUUUUAUAAAUACACAUACACACACACAUACACGCAUACACACACACAUACUCGCAUGCACACAUUAUUACACAGGCAAGCUGGUCGUGUGUGUCAUUUCGUCGGGGAAGUAACGUUCGUUUUUACCUGUUACGCUGCUUUAUGAUGAGGAAAGGGAAUUCCUUAUACGUUGGUUGGCGCUGAUUGCCUCGCCGAUGACACAUUAACUUAGCUUAGGUGCCUGUCUUUUAGCCGGACUAGCACCGCCACUAAAUUGAUAACCAUCAUCAUCAUCGCUUGCUAUCAUUACAAAAUCCCGGUAACGAUUUUUUUUAUUUUGCCGUCACACAUCAGCAGCACCAUCGCCGCCACCGCCACUAUUAUCACCACCACUACUACUACUACUACUACUACUACUACUUGUAGUACUACACAUGCAACGGAUGAUUCUCAAUUUACUAUAAAAACUAUACAAAUAAUAAUAAUAGCUUCGAUGCAAAACUAGUUUUCGUGUUUUCUUCCCUGACUCUCGAUACGUUCCUUUCAGUUUCGCAAGUAACAUACACACACACACACACGUACAUAUACGUAUUACACACUGACACGCACACACACACAUACACUUAUAUAAACACAAGGACUUUACUAUACGUACAACCAACACACAUACACAUGCAUAUAAACGUAUAUUACUGACACAUGCACACAUAUACCUAAAUACAAGGACUAUACUCUCUAUACGUAGGUACGUACGUACGUAUAUAUAUAUAUAAUUUUUGUGUAUAAUCUACAUAUGUAAAUAGGUAGAUGUAUAUAUAUAUAUAUAUAUAUGUGUGUGUGUGUGUGCAUCAGGAAAUAAGUCUUACACAUUUGAUACAAACACACUUCAAAGCAGUGUUCACUAGUGCGACUAAGGUUACUAAAUACUGCAAGCAACACAGACCGUGGCGUUUAUAAUCACUUCUAAUACGACUACUACUACUACUAGUACAAAUUACAAGUACCACCACCACCACUACUACAACUACUACUACUACUACUGAUACAGAGACUAGUGUCUAGUAUCAUCAACAACAAACGAUCAUCUCUCAGCUGGGAUAGAAUCAUUUCCUCCAGCCUUCUUUGCGGUGGUCAAUCGUUUAUUCACAACACUUGCUACCGAAAAUGUGACUGCAUUCAUCAUUGGAUGUUUUUUAAAUUGAUGACAAGAUUCACAUACCAAUAUGUUUCAUAUAUUCUCCUUCCUCCUUCAACUGAUGUGAUCUAAUACCAUUAGGCUGGGCAUGUACGGCUGGAGAGGUGAAAAGAACUGUAAAGAAACAAAGUGAAAGAUCAGAUGAGUUAGUAACUGCAGGCCAGUGUGAACAGACUGAGUUCAU
Long non-coding RNA from Octopus sinensis (East Asian common octopus), 1529 nucleotides. RefSeq lists it as uncharacterized. The transcript is spliced from 4 exons. The record is from RefSeq and is a predicted model, not a curated record. NCBI's taxonomy places the organism in Eukaryota, Metazoa, Mollusca, Cephalopoda, Octopoda, Octopodidae.